This is an RNA transcript of Glycine soja, 1532 nucleotides long. It is a transcript of the gene named carbon catabolite repressor protein 4 homolog 4-like, with no coding region annotated. NCBI's taxonomy places the organism in Eukaryota, Viridiplantae, Streptophyta, Magnoliopsida, Fabales, Fabaceae. The transcript is spliced from 9 exons. The record is from RefSeq and is a predicted model, not a curated record.
AUGAGUAGUUUCUCCCCAGCGUUUCCCAAUCUUGUUUCGUAUAACAUUUUGGCUCAGGCUUAUGUGAAGAGCCCGCUGCUCCCACACUCUCCUUCCCCAAGUCUCAAAUGGAAACUUCGUUCAAACACUAUUUUGGCCGUUCUCAAGAACUUGGGAGCUGAUUUUUUCUGUCUACAGGAAGUUGAUGAAUUUGAAAGCUUUUACAAAGGGGAAUAUGCAGGACCUAGGAUAUUCUUCUAUUUAUAUUAAGAGAAGUGGACAGAAGCGUGAUGGGUGUGGGCUAUUUUACAAGCAUGACUGUGCAGAGUUGGUCUUAGAGGAAAAAAUUGAAUACAAUGAUCUUGUAAAGUCAGUUCCUGAUGGGAACUCUUCAAAUGAUGAUGAACACGCCAAUAUCCAGACAGUCCAGUCAGAUAAACAAAAGGAUGUGGCACCCAAAAAUGAAUCUAAAUCGAAUUCAGAAGAUCGUGGAGAUCUCAAUGACCCUCGUGUCAGACUAAAGCGUGAUUGUGUUGGAAUUAUGGCUGCAUUCAAACUCAAAGAUCGCUCUCAUCAUAUUGUUAUUGUGGCCAACACAUAUUUAUUGGGAUCCUGAUUGGGCUGAUGUCAAGCUUGCACAAGCUAAAUAUCUUCUAUCCCGGAUAGCAAAAUUUAAAACACUGAUAUCAGAUAGAUAUGAGUGCAUACCUGAAGUCAUUUUGGCUGGUGACUUCAAUUCUACGCCAGGAGAUAUGGUUUAUCAGUACCUUGUAUCAGGCAAUCCUUCAUCUAACCUGACUCCAGACUGUUUAGAGGAGUCUCCUAGUCCUAUUCCCUUAUGUAGUGUCUAUGCUUCUACAAGAGGAGAGCCACCAUUUACAAACUACACACCUGGCUUCACUGGAACACUUGACUAUAUAUUAUUUUCCCCUUCUGAUAACAUUAAACCCAUUAGUUUUCUUGAACUUCUAGACUCCGAUGCAGCUGAUAUUGUUGGUGGACUGCCAAACUUCAGUUAUCCAAGUGAUCAUCUACCAAUUGGUGCUGAAUUUGAAAUCAUCAAGGAAUAAAUGUUCUGGUAUGCGAGGUGUUAUUUUGAGUAAUCAGCUUUCAUGUUCCAUCUCAUCUCCCAUUUGUGAAGAUUAAAGCAAGGUUCUGGAAGCAAGUGUACAAUAAAUUGUCAUAAAUUCAACACAGGCACUUGGCAAGAAGGCCAACAGUUACCAAAAAGCAAACAUUAGAAGUUUUUGUUUUGUGACGAAAAUUUCAUUGAGUUUGAUUGAUUUAGCCCCCCAAAAAUUUGCAGCUGAGUCUUUCCGAAGAAAGAAGGUUGUUGUAUUUUCAGACUUGACAGUUUCAAAAUUUAUGUAAUUUUCUGAUUUUGGUGAACAUAUAUGUCAUUUUAGACAAUAUAUUGUUAUGCAUUAUUUUUUGAGAUAAAAAUUUCUGGGAUCAAGUAAAUGCCAUUAUUUAUUUCAAAGGAAAACUGAGGAAAAAAGCAUCUAUAUGCCAGUUUUCUGUUGAUGUUGAAACUAAAUGAUCAAUUUUGCCUA